GGGUGCUGUCCUAAGAGAGCCUUGUGACAUAUCUCAACACCCAGCACUCAAAUGAUAUGGCUCUUCUGCCCAGUUUCUGCCCACAUAUUAAAUUGUGACAUAUUUCUAGGGAAGCAUCUAGGUGAUAUGACUCUCCUCAUCUGCCUGAGUUCUGCCUACUGGGGACAUGGGGACAUAUCUGUGAUCCCAUGACCUAAGUGAUAUGCCUCUCUUCCUCUGCCUGGGCCUUUAAAAUGGUGGGAUUGUGACAUAUUGCUGAGCCCAGCAUUCAGGUCAUGUGACUCUACUCUUUUUUGUGAACCAUGCCCACAAAGGGAAAUUUUGACCUAUUGCACCCAGAUGAUGUUACUCUUCUGAUAGAGUCCUGAAAAAAGAGGGAAUUAUUGCAUACUGGUGGGCCCAGCUGCUGAUGAUGCUACAGUCCUUCCUGUGCCAGAGCCACAGACAGUAUUUUGACAUAAUUUCGGCCCAUUUGACUCUGCCAAGAGAGGGGAUUAUUACAUAUUGCAGAGCCCAGCACCUAGGUGGAGUGACUCUCAUCUUUUUCUUCUACCCCGUAUAUAGCCAGCUUGGUGACCUACUAUUUGAGUCUAUACCCAGGCCCAGACCACAGAUGAAAUUGUGCAAUAUGUGGAACAAACACCUAAACAAUAUAUAACACCUUCCUUGGCUCUGUCUACAAAGGGCACUUUUAUAUAUCACUGGGACCAUCAACCAGGUGAUAUAACCCUCUUCUCUGGAAUGGGCCCCACACAAAGGAAGGAUAGUGACAUAUUGCAAGCCCAGGCACACAGGCCCAGAGCACAGUUGAAAUUGUGACAUAUGUACACCAAGCAACCAAGCAAUGUAUAACACCUCAUUUGGCAAUGGAAUCGAGGGCACUUUUACAUAUCACUGAGACCAGCGCCCAGCUGAUGUGAAAUAUUGGCCUGAACCCUGCCUACAAAAGCAUUGUGGCUUUUAUCUAGCUCCAUUACAUAAGUGAUGUGACUUCCUUCUACUGCCUUGGCCCUGCACUUAUGGUGAAUCGUGACACAAAAUUGGGUAGAGCAACCAGGUGAUGUGACCCUUUUUUUUUUGGCGGGGGGCCAGUCUGUCAAUAGGAAGCUUUAACAUAUCACUUGGCUCAGCACCU
Long non-coding RNA from Homo sapiens (human), 1135 nucleotides. Ensembl annotates it as long intergenic non-protein coding RNA 293. Lineage: Eukaryota; Metazoa; Chordata; Mammalia; Primates; Hominidae. The record is from Ensembl.